AUUGAACGCUGGCGGCAUGCUUUACACAUGCAAGUCGAACGGCAGCGGGGUAGUGCUUGCACUACUGCCGGCGAGUGGCGAACGGGUGAGUAAUAUAUCGGAACGUACCGAGUAAUGGGGGAUAACCAAUCGAAAGAUUGGCUAAUACCGCAUACGUCCUGAGGGAGAAAGCGGGGGAUCGCAAGACCUCGCGUUAUUCGAGCGGCCGAUAACUGAUUAGCUAGUUGGUGGGGUAAAGGCCUACCAAGGCGACGAUCAGUAGCGGGUCUGAGGGGACGAUCCGCCACACUGGGACUGAGACACGGCCCAGACUCCUACGGGAGGCAGCAGUGGGGAAUUUUGGACAAUGGGGGCAACCCUGAUCCAGCCAUGCCGCGUGUAUGAAGAAGGCCUUCGGGUUGUAAAGUACUUUUGUUAGGGAAGAAAAGGGAAGUGCUAAUACCACUUUUUGCUGACGGUACCUAAAGAAUAAGCACCGGCUAACUACGUG
RNAcentral lists this ribosomal RNA (490 nucleotides) under uncultured bacterium. RNAcentral describes it as "partial 16S ribosomal RNA". It matches the Rfam family "Bacterial small subunit ribosomal RNA", at positions 30 to 507 of the family's 1533-position model. The record is from RNAcentral.